GAUGAACGCUGGCGGCGUGCUUAAUACAUGCAAGUCGAGCGAAGCGCUUUAACGGAAUUCUUCGGAAGCAACUGUGUCUGAGCGGGCGACGGGUGAAGGUAACGCGUGGUAACCUGCCUCAUACAGGGGAAUAACAGUUAGAAAUGGCUGCUAAUGCCGCAUAAGCGCACAGGGCCGCAUGGUCUGGUGUGAAAAACUGAGGUGGUAUGAGAUGGGCCCGCGUCUGAUUAGGUAGUUGGCGGGGUAACGGCCCACCAAGCCGACGAUCAGUAGCCGACCUGAGAGGGUGACCGGCCACAUUGGGACUGAGACACGGCCCAG
RNAcentral lists this ribosomal RNA (321 nucleotides) under uncultured bacterium. RNAcentral describes it as "bacterial SSU rRNA". It matches the Rfam family "Bacterial small subunit ribosomal RNA", at positions 28 to 334 of the family's 1533-position model. The record is from RNAcentral.